CAACUACUAAGAACCAUGGAGGUAAGAAUCAGGCUGCUAAAGAAGGAUCUGAGAGUCUUCUGGUGAUGGAAGAUUGUGGGCAGGCCCUCAGUUCACUUUAGAUUAGUUCUACUAUCACCUGUCAUAUGCUUCACAUUAGGCAGGGCACUGGGGCUCAGGGAUAAGGGAGUAACAGUUAACACCCAAGCGGUGACUUAACAAUGAGCCAAACCAUGAACUGCAGGCCUCUUGAAAGGGCCUCCUACAGAAAAACCACCCAGCCAAUUCUCUGAUGGGACUUCCUGGAAGCGUGGGCUGCUAGGGAUCCUGACAGCUGGGACCAUAACCACCAGAACCCAAACAUCUUCAGACCUAAUGAAGGUUGAAAAAUAUGGGUGAGGAAGACUGAAGUUUUUCUACAGGAACCUGGAAGCUCACUUCAGCUGGCAUUAUGAUUGCCUAUGACAAGAUGACCGAUUGAGACACUCUCUCCUUCUGCCAUAGCACUCUGAAGUGUCCUAAAUGAGUUCCUUGAUAAGCUGGGAAAAGGGAGGCGACUACAUGGAGAGCACCUACCCUGCAGGGGGUAGUGUAAGGUGCUAAGGUGUUUAAGACAGAAACUUGGUCACCAGGCAACUUAAAAUCCAGAUCAGUCCGAGGUCCUUUCGUCCAGACACGGGUCUUCAGAGGUAACUAUGAAUCGUUAUUUCCAUUUAAUAGCUAAGCAAAUAAAUUGCAGUGGCUCGGUGAGCUGAAGUCAAAUAGCUCUAA
This is a long non-coding RNA of Ochotona princeps (American pika), 750 nucleotides long. RefSeq lists it as uncharacterized. NCBI's taxonomy places the organism in Eukaryota, Metazoa, Chordata, Mammalia, Lagomorpha, Ochotonidae. The record is from RefSeq and is a predicted model, not a curated record. The transcript is spliced from 3 exons.